AGCGAACGCUGGCGGCGUGCCUAACACAUGCAAGUCGAACGUGAAAGGGAGCAAUCCCAAGUAAAGUGGCGUACGGGUGAGUAACACGUAGGUAAUCUACCCCAGAAUCUGGAAUAACCGGCCGAAAGGCUGGCUAAUACUGGAUAGAGCGACGGAAUCCGUAAUUGGGUUUUUCGGGAAAGGGAGCCUGUAAAAAGGCCUUCGUUCUGGGAUGAGCCUGCGUCCCAUCAGCUAGUUGGUGAGGUAAAAGCUUACCAAGGCAAUGACGGGUAGCUGGUCUGAGAGGACGAUCAGCCACACUGGAACUGAAACACGGUCCAGACUCCUACGGGAGGCAGCAGGGGGGAAUCUUGCGCAAUGGACGAAAGUCUGACGCAGCAACGCCGCGUGAGUGAAGAAGGCCUUCGGGUUGUAAAGCUCGGUCGAGUGGGACGAAAAUGCUUGGAGUUAACAGCUCCAGGAACUGACGGUACCACUAAAGGAAGCACCGGCUAACUCCGUG
This 502-nucleotide ribosomal RNA is filed under the name uncultured bacterium. RNAcentral's name for it is "partial 16S ribosomal RNA". It matches the Rfam family "Bacterial small subunit ribosomal RNA", at positions 29 to 507 of the family's 1533-position model. The record is from RNAcentral.